RNAcentral lists this ribosomal RNA (460 nucleotides) under uncultured bacterium. RNAcentral describes it as "partial 16S ribosomal RNA". It matches the Rfam family "Bacterial small subunit ribosomal RNA", at positions 338 to 795 of the family's 1533-position model. The record is from RNAcentral.
CCUACGGAGUGCAGCAGUGAGAAAUAUUGGUCAAUGGGAGAGAUCCUGAACCAGCCAAGCCGCGUGAGGGAAGACGGCCCUAUGGGUUGUAAACCUCUUUUGUCGGAGAACAAAACCCGGGACGUGUCCCGGACUGCGUGUAUCCGAAGAAAAAGCAUCGGCUAACUCCGUGCCAGCAGCCGCGGUAAUACGGAGGAUGCGAGCGUUAUCCGGAUUUAUUGGGUUUAAAGGGUGCGUAGGCGGUCCGUUAAGUCAGCGGUAAAAUUGCGGGGCUCAACCGUAAAAUUGCAGUUGAAACUGGCAGUCUUGAGUACAGUAGAGGUGGGCGGAAUUCGUGGUGUAGCGGUGAAAUGCUUAGAUAUCACGAAGAACUCCGAUUGCGAAGGCAGCUCACUGGACUGCAACUGACACUGAGGCUCGAAAGUGUGGGUAUCAAACAGGAUUAGAUACCCCAGUAGUC